GAGGAACCAGACCAGGACAAUUCUGGGAAGUGGACUUUACUGAAUUUAAGCCAGCAAGACUUAAAGCUCUUGAAAGAACUCAGUGAUACCUGUGGAAACAGCUGGCCACUGCCUACCAACCUGGUGAAGAGGGGACUCAACAUCGAUAUCAAAUCCACGGACUGCUCUCACCCCCCGCCUUCCCCAUCUUCCCCUCUGUACCAGGCCCACAGAAAAAUCUUAAAUGACCUUCUCCAGAAGUCUUCCCCAUGGCUGACUUUAGGACUUUCAGCAACAGAGUCCCUAUAAAAGAGUUCAAUGGAGAUAAACUUCCUCUUUUCGUGUUGCUCUGUUCUACUUGGCCACAGGCUGGAAAAAUCAGCACUCCUUACUAGUUUUUCACAAAAUAUGUGAACAAGGCCUCUGGCCUUGAGCUGGGGCUUCACAGAGAUGGCUACAUUUCUAAGAUAAAGAAGUUACCAACUGGGCUCCAUGGUAACAGCUGGCAGGGAGAAAAAAAAGAGAAGAAAAAAGCUCUCCCCCUCCCAGGUGUCCUUAAAAAGUUAACUUGCCCAGAGCAGAGGAAAAAAAAAAACAGAAACAAAAACUGCUUUUUGUGAACUUCUGCAAACUGUGAAUU
Molecule: long non-coding RNA, 619 nt
Organism: Marmota monax (woodchuck)
Lineage: Eukaryota; Metazoa; Chordata; Mammalia; Rodentia; Sciuridae
Exons: 3
Source: RefSeq, a predicted model, not a curated record